Molecule: small nuclear RNA, 107 nt
Organism: Myotis lucifugus (little brown bat)
Lineage: Eukaryota; Metazoa; Chordata; Mammalia; Chiroptera; Vespertilionidae
Source: Ensembl
GUGCUCACUUUGGCAGCACAUAUACUAAAAUUGGAACGAUACAGAGGAGAUUGGCAUGGCCCCUGCGCAAGGAUGACACGCAAAUUCGUGAAGCGUUCCAUAAAAAA